UUUCAGUUUGCGCCAGACUAGCUGAGAGGAGGAGCUUGAGACCUGUAUAUUGUGUGGAGGAGACUGCAUGUGACAGAGCCUUAUAUUUUUGUUGUUUAUUUGUACAGUCUGCACCAGGCUCGCUGAGAGGAAACAAAUUUGCUGUUUCGCCUUUAUUAAAAGA
Long non-coding RNA from Carassius auratus (goldfish), 163 nucleotides. RefSeq lists it as uncharacterized. The record is from RefSeq and is a predicted model, not a curated record. The transcript has 3 exons. NCBI's taxonomy places the organism in Eukaryota, Metazoa, Chordata, Actinopteri, Cypriniformes, Cyprinidae.